CCAGAGUGACGGUACCUAAUGAAUAAGCCCCGGCUAACUAUGUGCCAGCAGCCGCGGUAAUACAUAGGGGGCAAGCGUUAUCCGGAAUUAUUGGGCGUAAAGGGUGCGUAGGCGGCCUAUUAAGUCUGAGGUAUAAGUGCAGUGCUCAACGCUGUGAUGCUUUAGAAACUGAUAGGCUAGAGUGAGAUAGAGGCAAGUGGAAUUCCAUGUGUAGCGGUAAAAUGCGUAAAUAUAUGGAGGAACACCAGUGGCGAAGGCGGCUUGCUGGGUCUAUACUGACGCUGAGGCACGAAAGCGUGGGGAGCAAACAGGAUUAGAUACCCUGGUAGUCCACGCCGUAAACGAUGAGUACUAAGUGUUGGAGAAAUUCAGUGCUGUAGUUAACGCAAUAAGUACUCCGCCUGAGUAGUACGUACGCAAGUAUGAAACUUAAAGGAAUUGACGGGACCCCGCACAAGCGGUGGAUCAUGUUGUUUAAUUCGAGGAUACACGAAAAACCUUACCAGGUCUUGACAUACUCUGCAAGUCUAUAGAGAUAUAGAGGAGGCUAACAGAUGUACAGGUGGUGCAUGGUUGUCGUCAGCUCGUGUCGUGAGAUGUUGGGUUAAGUCCCGCAACGAGCGCAACCCUUAUUGCUAGUU
RNAcentral lists this ribosomal RNA (641 nucleotides) under uncultured Acholeplasma sp. RNAcentral describes it as "bacterial SSU rRNA". It matches the Rfam family "Bacterial small subunit ribosomal RNA", at positions 464 to 1116 of the family's 1533-position model. The record is from RNAcentral. Lineage: Bacteria; Bacillati; Mycoplasmatota; Mollicutes; Acholeplasmatales; Acholeplasmataceae.